AACGAACGCUGGCGGCGUGGUUUAGGCAUGCAAGUCGAACGAGAAACAGGGGGCGAACUCCUGAAGUACAGUGGCGAAAGGGUGAGUAAUACCUAGACAAUCUACCCUCGAGCCUGGGACAACAGCUGGAAACGGCUGCUAAUACCGGGUGGUAAGCGUGUGGCUCCGGCCGUGCGCUUUAAAGACGGGGACCCUUCGGGCCUGUCGCUCGAGGAGGGGUUUAGGCUCCAUCAGCUAGUUGGUAGGGNGACGGCCUACCAAGGCUACGACGGAUAGCCGGCCUGAGAGGGUGUCCGGCCACACU
Molecule: ribosomal RNA, 304 nt
Filed under: uncultured bacterium
Lineage: Bacteria
Description: bacterial SSU rRNA
Rfam family: Bacterial small subunit ribosomal RNA
Source: RNAcentral